Molecule: ribosomal RNA, 715 nt
Filed under: Podosphaera xanthii
Lineage: Eukaryota; Fungi; Ascomycota; Leotiomycetes; Helotiales; Erysiphaceae
Description: partial large subunit ribosomal RNA
Rfam family: Eukaryotic large subunit ribosomal RNA
Source: RNAcentral
AGUAACGGCGAGUGAAGCGGUAACAGCUCAAAUUUGAAAUCUGGCUCCUCGGGGCCCGAAUUGUAAUUUGUAGAAGAUGCUUUGGGUCUGGGCCUGGCCUAAGUUCCUUGGAACAGGACGUCGUAGAGGGUGAGAAUCCCGUAUGCGGCUGGCGCCCGUGCCCGUGUAAAGCUCUUUCAACGAGUCGAGUUGUUUGGGAAUGCAGCUCUAAAUGGGUGGUAAAUUUCAUCUAAAGCUAAAUAUUGGCCAGAGACCGAUAGCGCACAAGUAGAGUGAUCGAAAGAUGAAAAGCACUUUGGAAAGAGAGUUAAACAGUACGUGAAAUUGUUGAAAGGGAAGCGCUGGCAACCAGACUUGGGCGCUGUUGAUCCGCUAGGGUUCUCUCUAGGGCACUCGGCAGUGCGCAGGCCAGCAUCGGUUUGGGGGGUUGGAGAAUGGCUGGUGGAAUGUGGCUGUCUUUGGGCAGUGUUAUAGCCACCGGUGGCAUGCAGCCUCCCCGGACCGAGGACCGCGCUUCGGCUAGGAUGCUGGCGUAAUGGUUGUCAGCGACCCGUCUUGAAACACGGACCAAGGAGUCUAACAUCUAUGCGAGUGUUUGGGUGUUAAACCCAUACGCGGAAUGAAAGUGAACGUAGGUGAGAACCCGCAAGGGUGCAUCAUCGACCGAUCCUGAUGUCUUCGGAUGGAUUUGAGUAAGAGCAUAGCUGUUGGGACC